CCCUUAGAUGUUCUGGGCCGCACGCGCGCUACACUGUUCGACGCAGCGAGUCUUAACCUUGACCGAAAGGUUUGGGUAAUCUUCAGCAAAGUCGAACGUGAUGGGGAUCGAUCAUUGCAAUUAUUGAUCGUGAACGAGGAAUUCCUAGUAAGUGCAAGUCAUCAGCUUGCGCUGAUUACGUCCCUGCCCUUUGUACACACCGCCCGUCGCUACUACCGAUUGAAUGGUUUAGUGAGAUCUCUGGAUUGACGCUGGGUAGGGGGCGACCCUUGGCCAGACUGUUGAGAAACUGCUCAAACUUGAUCAUUUAGAGGAAGUAAAAGUCGUAACA
This 331-nucleotide ribosomal RNA is filed under the name uncultured eukaryote. RNAcentral's name for it is "partial 18S ribosomal RNA". It matches the Rfam family "Eukaryotic small subunit ribosomal RNA", at positions 1470 to 1796 of the family's 1831-position model. The record is from RNAcentral.